GGGUUGUGAGGUUAAGCGACUAAGCGUACACGGUGGAUGCCCUGGCAGUCAGAGGCGAUGAAGGGCGUGCUAAUCUGCGAUAAGCGCCGGUAAGGUGAUAUGAACCGUUAUAACCGGCGAUACCCGAAUGGGGAAACCCAGUGUGAUUCGUCACACUAUCAUUAACUGAAUCCAUAGGUUAAUGAGGCGAACCGGGGGAACUGAAACAUCUAAGUACCCCGAGGAAAAGAAAUCAACCGAGAUUCCCCCAGUAGCGGCGAGCGAACGGGGAGGAGCCCAGAGCCUGAAUCAGCAUGUGUGUUAGUGGAAGCGUCUGGAAAGGCGCGCGAUACAGGGUGACAGCCCCGUACACAAAAGCGCAUGUGCUGUGAGCUCGAUGAGUAGGGCGGGACACGUGGUAUCCUGUCUGAAUAUGGGGGGACCAUCCUCCAAGGCUAAAUACUCCUGACUGACCGAUAGUGAACCAGUACCGUGAGGGAAAGGCGAAAAGAACCCCGGCGAGGGGAGUGAAAAAGAACCUGAAACCGUGUACGUACAAGCAGUGGGAGCACAGGUUUACCUGUGUGACUGCGUACCUUUUGUAUAAUGGGUCAGCGACUUAUAUUCUGUAGCAAGGUUAACCGUAUAGGGGAGCCGUAGGGAAACCGAGUCUUAACCGGGCGUUAAGUUGCAGGGUAUAGACCCGAAACCCGGUGAUCUAGCCAUGGGCAGGUUGAAGGUUGGGUAACACUAACUGGAGGACCGAACCGACUAAUGUUGAAAAAUUAGCGGAUGACCUGUGGCUGGGGGUGAAAGGCCAAUCAAACCGGGAGAUAGCUGGUUCUCCCCGAAAGCUAUUUAGGUAGCGCCUCGUGAAUUCAUCUCCGGGGGUAGAGCACUGUUUCGGCUAGGGGGCCAUCCCGGCUUACCAACCCGAUGCAAACUGCGAAUACCGGAGAAUGUUAUCACGGGAGACACACGGCGGGUGCUAACGUCCGUCGUGAAGAGGGAAACAACCCAGACCGCCAGCUAAGGUCCCAAAGUCAUGGUUAAGUGGGAAACGAUGUGGGAAGGCCCAGACAGCCAGGAUGUUGGCUUAGAAGCAGCCAUCAUUUAAAGAAAGCGUAAUAGCUCACUGGUCGAGUCGGCCUGCGCGGAAGAUGUAACGGGGCUAAACCAUGCACCGAAGCUGCGGCAGCGACGUUUAUGCGUUGUUGGGUAGGGGAGCGUUCUGUAAGCCUGUGAAGGUGUGUCGUGAGGCAUGCUGGAGGUAUCAGAAGUGCGAAUGCUGACAUAAGUAACGAUAAAGCGGGUGAAAAGCCCGCUCGCCGGAAGACCAAGGGUUCCUGUCCAACGUUAAUCGGGGCAGGGUGAGUCGACCCCUAAGGCGAGGCCGAAAGGCGUAGUCGAUGGGAAACGGGUUAAUAUUCCCGUACUUGGUGUUACUGCGAAGGGGGGACGGAGAAGGCUAUGUUGGCCGGGCGACGGUUGUCCCGGUUUAAGCGUGUAGGCUGGUUUUCCAGGCAAAUCCGGAAAAUCAAGGCUGAGGCGUGACGACGAGGCACUACGGUGCUGAAGCAACAAAUGCCCUGCUUCCAGGAAAAGCCUCUAAGCAUCAGGUAACAUCAAAUCGUACCCCAAACCGACACAGGUGGUCAGGUAGAGAAUACCAAGGCGCUUGAGAGAACUCGGGUGAAGGAACUAGGCAAAAUGGUGCCGUAACUUCGGGAGAAGGCACGCUGACACGUAGGUGAAGUGAUUUACUCAUGGAGCUGAAGUCAGUCGAAGAUACCAGCUGGCUGCAACUGUUUAUUAAAAACACAGCACUGUGCAAACACGAAAGUGGACGUAUACGGUGUGACGCCUGCCCGGUGCCGGAAGGUUAAUUGAUGGGGUCAGCGCAAGCGAAGCUCCUGAUCGAAGCCCCGGUAAACGGCGGCCGUAACUAUAACGGUCCUAAGGUAGCGAAAUUCCUUGUCGGGUAAGUUCCGACCUGCACGAAUGGCGUAAUGAUGGCCAGGCUGUCUCCACCCGAGACUCAGUGAAAUUGAACUCGCUGUGAAGAUGCAGUGUACCCGCGGCAAGACGGAAAGACCCCGUGAACCUUUACUAUAGCUUGACACUGAACAUUGAGCCUUGAUGUGUAGGAUAGGUGGGAGGCUUUGAAGUGUGGACGCCAGUCUGCAUGGAGCCGACCUUGAAAUACCACCCUUUAAUGUUUGAUGUUCUAACGUGGACCCGUAAUCCGGGUUGCGGACAGUGUCUGGUGGGUAGUUUGACUGGGGCGGUCUCCUCCUAAAGAGUAACGGAGGAGCACGAAGGUUGGCUAAUCCUGGUCGGACAUCAGGAGGUUAGUGCAAUGGCAUAAGCCAGCUUGACUGCGAGCGUGACGGCGCGAGCAGGUGCGAAAGCAGGUCAUAGUGAUCCGGUGGUUCUGAAUGGAAGGGCCAUCGCUCAACGGAUAAAAGGUACUCCGGGGAUAACAGGCUGAUACCGCCCAAGAGUUCAUAUCGACGGCGGUGUUUGGCACCUCGAUGUCGGCUCAUCACAUCCUGGGGCUGAAGUAGGUCCCAAGGGUAUGGCUGUUCGCCAUUUAAAGUGGUACGCGAGCUGGGUUUAGAACGUCGUGAGACAGUUCGGUCCCUAUCUGCCGUGGGCGCUGGAGAACUGAGGGGGGCUGCUCCUAGUACGAGAGGACCGGAGUGGACGCAUCACUGGUGUUCGGGUUGUCAUGCCAAUGGCACUGCCCGGUAGCUAAAUGCGGAAGAGAUAAGUGCUGAAAGCAUCUAAGCACGAAACUUGCCCCGAGAUGAGUUCUCCCUGAGACUUAGAGUCUCCUGAAGGAACGUUGAAGACGACGACGUUGAUAGGCCGGGUGUGUAAGCGCAGCGAUGCGUUGAGCUAACCGGUACUAAUGAACCGUGAGGCUUAACCUUACAACGCCGAAG
This 2927-nucleotide ribosomal RNA is filed under the name Salmonella enterica subsp. enterica serovar Bareilly str. CFSAN000208. RNAcentral describes it as "bacterial LSU rRNA". It matches the Rfam family "Bacterial large subunit ribosomal RNA". The record is from RNAcentral. Lineage: Bacteria; Pseudomonadati; Pseudomonadota; Gammaproteobacteria; Enterobacterales; Enterobacteriaceae.